RNAcentral lists this long non-coding RNA (681 nucleotides) under Manduca sexta (tobacco hornworm). RNAcentral's name for it is "uncharacterized LOC119190800, transcript variant X5". The record is from RNAcentral. Lineage: Eukaryota; Metazoa; Arthropoda; Insecta; Lepidoptera; Sphingidae.
CGUUUACGCGCCAUCCUGCCCGUAAAAAAAAUGAAGCUAUAUUAUUAUUAUUAUUGUGUUGCGUGUAUGUAACAUGACUCGUUUAUAAUGUACUGUAUUUAUUUACAUAUUGUUUACGAAUAAAACGUGUGUUUGUUUAAACUGUAUAACUACUAACUACUCGCCAAGAACGCCAAGAACUUGCUUGCAUACUUGGGGCCGCUUAAAAUGUUAAAUCCAGUGAAAACAAUUAAGUUUUGUAUGUUUAUUGAUAAUAAUGAUUCUAACUAACAUUAUGAUAAGUAGUAUAAUAUCGAAUAAUAAUAUUUGCAAGUUGCACCCGAUCAGUGUAGUGAGUGAAAUAAUAAUAUUAGGAUUUAUUUUUGGAUGUUGUGUGUGUUCGUGUUCGUGUGAUACAAAUUUUAUCGAUGCAAGAAGUGUGCGGACCACCGGCCCCGGGCCCUCUCAACCUUUAUGCGAGUACCUACAUACAUACAUACAUAACUGUGCACCCGUACCGGCACCGUCUACUAUCUACUGUCGUCAAUUAGGAUGCAGUAUGGAUCGCAGACACAUCUCAUCGUCCAGUUUUCCAGUUUCCACCAGCCAUACCACCAGCUAUGACCAGGCACCAGACGCCAGCGGCGCUUCCUCAACGUUAUGCUUAAACGCCACACUAUAUAUGUACAGGGUGAAGGUUUC